AGUGAACGCUGGCGGUAGGCCUAACACAUGCAAGUCGAACGGCAGCACAGUAAGAGCUUGCUCUUACGGGUGGCGAGUGGCGGACGGGUGAGGAAUACAUCGGAAUCUACUUUUUCGUGGGGGAUAACGUAGGGAAACUUACGCUAAUACCGCAUACGACCUACGGGUGAAAGCAGGGGAUCUUCGGACCUUGCGCGAUUGAAUGAGCCGAUGUCGGAUUAGCUAGUUGGCGGGGUAAAGGCCCACCAUGGCGACGAUCCGUAGCUGGUCUGAGAGGAUGAUGAGACACACGGAAAGUGAGACAGGGUCCAGACUCACGCGAGGGACAGCAGUGGGAUAUUUUGGAAAAGGGGCGAAAGUGUGAGCGAGCCAUACCGCGUGGGAGAAGAGGGCUUUGAGGGUGUAAAGCCCUUUUGUGGGAAAAAAAAAGGAGCAGGUUAAUACCCCGGUGUUGUGGCGGCACCAAAAGAAUAACAACGGUCUAACUUCG
RNAcentral lists this ribosomal RNA (490 nucleotides) under uncultured bacterium. RNAcentral's name for it is "partial 16S ribosomal RNA". It matches the Rfam family "Bacterial small subunit ribosomal RNA", at positions 29 to 505 of the family's 1533-position model. The record is from RNAcentral.